This is a long non-coding RNA of Nerophis ophidion (straightnose pipefish), 2915 nucleotides long. RefSeq lists it as uncharacterized. The transcript is spliced from 3 exons. NCBI's taxonomy places the organism in Eukaryota, Metazoa, Chordata, Actinopteri, Syngnathiformes, Syngnathidae. The record is from RefSeq and is a predicted model, not a curated record.
UGGGAAGUAUCAGCGCAGAGCCAUUUUCAGAUCUCUCCAGAGAUGUUACCAGAUCUUACCAUCGUAAAGUUCGAGUGCACUUCCUGGCUGCAACCAGCAGAGGUGAAAAAGAACAAGACAUCAGCUCUGGGAAGUUGAACUUCAUUCACAGAGACCCCAAGGGGCACUAAAAACACAAUGAAGAGCUCCAAGAGCAAUGACAUCAUGUUGGACUGAAUUGCACACACACACACACACACACACACACGGUUCUAUUUAAAGCAGGUUUGGGGAUGCACAAGCAUGCCCUCGCCCGUGCUUGUGGUUUGAUUGUCAGACUGAGGGGUCAAAGGGUAACUAUUUGUGCGACCAAUGGAGGUCAGCAUCAGUGUGGACUCCUGCAAGAGCACUCGAACACCACCUGAAUGACAAAUGAAUUCUGACCCUCCUGCCGAUGACCCCCUUUCGAUGGCACACAACAUCUCUUUAUCUGCUAUGUACGUGUCAAAGCUGAUGUUUUUAUGUUCCAUGUUGUUUUUCCCAUCAUAGAAAUCUAUUGCCUCUGGUUCAAGUCCACAAACACUGUUGCCAAAACAGAAAAUAGUUCUUGGUGCAAUCUAACAACAUGCUGUUGUUUGACAGCCCAUAAAGAACGAAAAGCAGCUCUGCUGUCCGACUCCUGGAAUUCUACAAAUCUAACUUUGGAGUGAGUCAUGACGCAGGCCAGGACAGGAGAUGGUUAUCAUUAUUCAAAAGACAAUAAUUAGCCGGCUCCCUAAUGAGCUAAUUUUGAGCUGCGUCAGCCUGUGCAUUCUCAUUUAGCCAUAUCACUGCAGACAUGGACGGAGUCUUUUAACGGCUUAGCCAUCAGCAAUUACUAUACAGCACUGAUAGCGGACUUCCAGUGUGGCCAUUGUGCAAAGUUAGCUCUGUGCAUGUGUGUGUCGUCCUGUUGCACGACUUUAAAGCGCGUGAUGGAUGGAUAAAAGCACAUGACCGCCGCCGUCGGACAGGGGAGGUAUUGAGGCAUUGUGAUUGGAGGUCAUGGGAUCGUCCAGAGAGAAGGGGUGUCUCACUUUCAUGAUUAACCAAAAGUCAAAAAGGAUUUCCUUUCCUAAACAGAGACCACAAUCAUAUGAGGCCACCAGGCAGGUGGGCCAUCUCCCUCGCUCCGUUGCCGGCAGCUGCUGUGUUUGGGAGAUAAAAAUGACCGAAACCUGUGUCAACAGUUGGGGAAAAGCAUCCCUCACUACGUUGUUACUUUGUAAAAGUGAUAAAAAUAAAACCAUGGCUGUGGCCUCCACCCCAAACUAUUCUGUUUUUCCUGACCGGGAGGGUCGUUGUCGGCCAGAGCCACAGACCAAGCCAACACACAUCAAGGGCAGCACUUUCCUAGCCUUCAUUUUCACCCCCUGACUUUUCCUGUUUUGACAGGAAACAGGAGAUGAUAACACAGCCACACAAACAAGCAACAAUCACCUCCAACUUGCUGCAAUGGACAUGGACUUACUUUCAAAGGGCCUUACGUCCAGACACAGAAAAAAGACCUAAACAAGGACAUAGAUAUUGGGUUACACCUACUGCAUUUGUUUCUCUCCUUAAAGUACCAGUAGAGUGGAAAAACAUGUUGACUUUUUAUGCUUAAUUGUGGUUCAUUGUAUCCAUUAAAACAUAUCCAAUUUUAUUUACAAUCCGCAAAGUAUGUAAAAACAAAGUUUAACAUCACAAAAUGCACCAAAUUCAGUCAGCCAUUUUUAAUAUUCUGCUCCGAAUACCUUUGGCUAGUUCAGGAGGGAUUUUUUCUGCACUCUGACCAUAUUUUAGAUCAGUCAUACUGGAAAUAUGCAAAUAUUAGACAGAGAUGUGCUGUUUAUAAUUCAGAAUCCUUAUAUAAGACAUGAACGAUUAUGUUUUUUAUGCAUUUUAACUAAAUAAAUAAAUAAAAAGUAAUCUAACAAUGGCGGCUUCACGGUGGAAGAGGGGUUAUUGCGUCUGCCUCACAAUACGAAGGUCCUGCAGCCCUGGGUUCAAAUCCAGGCUCGGGAUCUUUCUGUGUGGAGUUUGCAUGUUCUCCCCGUGAAUGCGUGGGUUCCCUCCGGGUACUCCGGCUUCCUCCCACCUCCAAAGACAUGUACCUGGGGAUAGGUUGAUUGGCAACACUAAAUUGGCCCUAGUGUGUGAAUGUGAGUGUGAAUGUUGUCUGUCUAUCUGUGUUGGCCCUGCGAUGAGGUGUCGACUUGUUCAGGGUGUAACCCUGCCUUCCGCCCGGUUGUAGCUGAGAUAAGCGCCAGCGCCCCCCGCGUCCCCAAAAAAAAGGGAAUAAGCGGUAGAAAAUGGAUGGAUGGAUGGAUGGAAUCUAACAAUGUAAUCAAUGGGGGCUCUCUAUUUUGCCCACAAAACCCUCUAAAUAACCAACAAUAUUCUCUAUACGUAUCGUUACCUGAAUAUUAACCAAAUAUUAGCAAUUUUAUUAUAAGCGCUAACGCGAACAAACUAUUUCUUGAUACAGAUACAGACAGCUAAGUAGCCCUUUACUGUGAGCCAGCAGCGAUUACUAGCUGCUCCCGCAUAAUCGCGCCUCUGCUCGUCAAAGUUAUUCUACAUUAUGAAUCUCAUGCCACUCAUCUGUAUAGAAGGAGGAUUUAGCCUUGAAUCUGAAUCUGUUCAUCUGUGACAUUUAAUUCAUGCUUGGAGAUGGAGACAAACACACACAACCAAAGAUGGUGUCUGCAGGGAGACUUCCUUGUUAACUUUGUGUGCGUCAUAAAUAAUUGUUCAUCUGAAUGAGAAAAUAUGGACAUCCUCUCAGCCUUCAUCGAACUAGGAGAAGACAUUGUACAGUAAACCAGUGGUUCUCAAAUGGGGGUACGCGUACCCUGGGGGUACUUGAAGGUAUGACAAGGGGUACGUGUGAUUUUUUUUUUAAAUCCUAAAAA